Long non-coding RNA from Pezoporus occidentalis (night parrot), 1448 nucleotides. RefSeq lists it as uncharacterized. The record is from RefSeq and is a predicted model, not a curated record. NCBI's taxonomy places the organism in Eukaryota, Metazoa, Chordata, Aves, Psittaciformes, Psittacidae. The transcript is spliced from 2 exons.
AUUUGUCUCAAGGGUCUGAGUAAGUCUGACCCAGUUCCUGGAGAAAUCAAUAAGAACUUUUCCAGUGAUUUCAGAAAAAAUUGAAUCAGAUCCAACAGUCAGAGAAUUCUGAGCUAAGCUGAAAUUUAUCCUGUUUAUUCUUAUGUACUAUUUCAGCUCCCUCUCCAGUCAAAACCUGACAGAGUAAAUGAGAAGUUACAGAACAAAACUUGGCUUAAUGUUGCUUGAUCUCUGUUUUCCCACAGCUCCUCCUGUAUAUCCUAUUAUCCCAAAAGACAGAAUGAAACAAAUAAAUACAUAAAGUUCACUGUACACAGUUAUUUAUUAUUAAUACAAGCCAGCUCCUAAUGGGGAUAGUACAGAUAAGUGGAAAUGCCUGUGUUUUAUAACCUGGUGUUAAUAUGCAAAUAAUUUUAUUGAAAAUAAUUAUUACUGUAACUAGAAACCAAAAGCAUCAAAAAUAUUGCUCAAAUUAAUUCUCUGUUAAUUUUAAUGGAACUAAUUGGAAAUCAGUCUUUUCUAAAGACAAAUAUCUGGCAAAGACAUUCAGUUCCUUCUUGGUUAAUCCAAAUGAAGAAAGCUGACAGUAUAUAAAAGCUGUACCAAUAAACUUAGCAAAUAUUGCAGCAUUAAUUCUAUUGUUUGCAUAUGCAAUUCCUCUCCCUCAACCCUACAGACAUUUUCCUUUAUGUUUUCUGUUCUAACAGUACAUAUGACCUGUCCUUCAAAUAUCUUUUUAGAAGAAAUAUUAGUACUGGCAGCCAGUAUGUUGUAGAUGUACCUUGGCAGAACAAAAGUAUCUUGCUUUAAAAAGUACCUGCCCUAGAGCAUUUAAAAAGAAUGUCAAACCGUAAAGUAGGUCAGCCUGAGCAGUUUUCUCAUGACAAGAGCAAUGUAAGCAAUGUGCUAAGUUUUUCUGUGCAGCUAUCACGCUUAUGUUUGCCAUAUGUCUCUUGGUCUGUUUUUAUAAUUUCUUUGUUGCUACUGUUUGAUACCCAAAGCUUUUAUUAAUGGACACCAAACAGUUGGAAGGAACUCAGAGCUGGCAGAUGUGUCAGCUUUGGCCACAACAGGCAAUAGAUACAGGAAGGCAGUUCUCUGGGUCACAGCCAGCAAAGUUCAUCCUUGUCCAAAAAUUCCUAUCAGUAUCAGUUGCAUUCUUAGAAGUACUUCACCCUCAAACCUCAGGUUUCCCUACAGGUUUUUUUUUCCUUUACAGCAAAUGUUAUUUACUUUAAAACAGCCCAGAGGACUACGAAGGCUUUAAGAGGCUCAGCACACUCUCUGGUGGUGAAGGUGGCUGUUGGAUGACAGCAGCCAGGAACCUGGUGAAGGGCUGAGCCCAGCACAGGAAGCAAAUGUUGGGACUGGAACAGAGACUGAACACACCAUCACAGCAUACCUGUGGAUGACAGAUGAAAACAAUAAACUGGCAAUAAGCUUAAAAG